RNAcentral lists this ribosomal RNA (253 nucleotides) under uncultured bacterium. Its description in RNAcentral is "partial 16S ribosomal RNA". It matches the Rfam family "Bacterial small subunit ribosomal RNA", at positions 524 to 776 of the family's 1533-position model. RNAcentral also lists the same sequence under 1 other name. The record is from RNAcentral.
UACGAAGGGGGCUAGCGUUGUUCGGAAUUACUGGGCGUAAAGGGCGCGUAGGCGGCCCGAUCAGUCAGAUGUGAAAGCCCCGGGCUCAACCUGGGAACUGCAUUUGAUACUGUCGGGCUUGAGUUCCGGAGAGGAUGGUGGAAUUCCCAGUGUAGAGGUGAAAUUCGUAGAUAUUGGGAAGAACACCGGUGGCGAAGGCGGCCAUCUGGACGGACACUGACGCUGAGGCGCGAAAGCGUGGGGAGCAAACAGG